Molecule: long non-coding RNA, 220 nt
Filed under: Elaeis guineensis (African oil palm)
Lineage: Eukaryota; Viridiplantae; Streptophyta; Magnoliopsida; Arecales; Arecaceae
Description: long non-coding RNA (EGUI_LNC081111)
Source: RNAcentral
ACAAAUUAUUUCAUCUUCUAAUGAACUCCUGUGUUGUGGUGAAGUCCUUAGGACUAUUUAGACGCAACAAAGGAGGAUUUGUCGUUUAGUCCUUAAACCUGUUCGUGAUCAAAUGAUACGUUGUUACCAAGGACAAUAAUGUUUAUCAAGCAUAGGUCGUUGUGUGCCAUAUAGGUUGGUUGUCCUCUUAACCAAGGAGUGUGGAGACACUGGUAUGGCA